UCCAUUGCGGCAUUAAGUAAGGAGUUGGAGGAAAUCAAGGCGCAUCCACUUCGUCAUCUCAGUCUCUUUUUGUGCAAAGAGGUAGAAAAGAUUCCGACCUUCUAGCCUCGAGUAGUGGACAGUGUAUCAUUGAUAGCGGUGCUAUUGAUCACUACUCUGGUAUGAGUACCAUUUUCUCUUCACUUAAGCCAUCAACAUCAUUGGGUAAGCUAAAGCUUGCUGAUGGCUCUACUACUCCCAUUGUUGGGAGUGGUACUGUAAAAGAAAACCAUCUCGUCCUUACCC
RNAcentral lists this long non-coding RNA (285 nucleotides) under Nicotiana benthamiana. Its description in RNAcentral is "long non-coding RNA (NBEN_LNC008324)". Lineage: Eukaryota; Viridiplantae; Streptophyta; Magnoliopsida; Solanales; Solanaceae. The record is from RNAcentral.